RNAcentral lists this ribosomal RNA (468 nucleotides) under uncultured bacterium. Its description in RNAcentral is "partial 16S ribosomal RNA". It matches the Rfam family "Bacterial small subunit ribosomal RNA", at positions 28 to 507 of the family's 1533-position model. The record is from RNAcentral.
GACGAACGCUGGCGGCGUGCUUAACACAUGCAAGUCGAACGGAAAGGCCCUGCUUUUGUGGGUUGCUCGAGUGGCGAACGGGUGAGUAACACGUGAGUAACCUGCCCUUGACUUUGGGAUAACUUCAGGAAACUGGGGCUAAUACCGGAUAUGAGCUCCUGCUCCGUGGUGGGGGUUGGAAAGUUUCGGCGGUUGGGUCUGGAUUCGCGGCUUAUCAGCUUGUUGGUGGGGUAGUGGCUUACCAAGGCUUUGACGGGUAGCCGGCCUGAGAGGGUGACCGGCCACAUGGGGACUGAGGGACGGCCCAGACGCCUACGGGACGCAGCAGGGGGGAAUAUUGCACAAUGGGCGGAAGCCUGAUGCAGCAACGCCGCGUGCGGGAUGACGGCCUUCGGGUGGUAAACCGCUUUCGACUGUGACGAAGAGUGAGUGACGGUAAUGGGUAAAGAAGCACCGGCUAACUACGUG